This 442-nucleotide ribosomal RNA is filed under the name uncultured bacterium. RNAcentral's name for it is "partial 16S ribosomal RNA". It matches the Rfam family "Bacterial small subunit ribosomal RNA", at positions 338 to 795 of the family's 1533-position model. The record is from RNAcentral.
CCUACGGGUGGCAGCAGUGGGGAAUAUUGCACAAUGGGGGGAACCCUGAUGCAGCGACGCCGCGUGAGUGAAGAAGUAUUUCGGUACGUAAAGCUCUAUCAGCAGGGACGAAAAAAGGACGGUACCUGAGUAAGAAACCCAGGCUAACUACGUGCCAGCAGCCGCGGUAAGACGUAGGGGGCAAGCGUUAUCCGGAAUUACUGGGGGUAAAGGGAGCGUAGACGGCAAUGCAAGUCCGGAGUGGAAUGCGGCAGCUCAACUGCCGAACUGCACUGGAAACUGUAUUGCCUGAGUGCAGGAGGGGUAAGCGGAAUUCCGGGUGUAGCGGUGAAAUGCGUAGAUAUACGGAGGAACACCGGUGGCGAAGGCGGCUUACUGGACUGUAACUGACGUUGAGGCUCGAAAGCGUGGGGAGCAAACAGGAUUAGAUACCCGAGUAGUC